AUACGGAGGAUCCGAGCGUUAUCCGGAUUUAUUGGGUUUAAAGGGUGCGCAAGCGGGAGAUUAAGUCGGCGGUGAAAUUUUGCAGCUCAACUGUAAAAGUGCCUUCGAAACUGGUUUCCUUGAGUGUAGAUGAAGUAGGCGGAAUUUGUGGUGUAGCGGUGAAAUGCAUAGAUAUCACGAGGAACUCCGAUUGCGCAGGCAGCUUACUAAACUACUACUGACGCUCAGGCACGAAGGCGUGGGGAUCAAACAGGAUUAGAUACCCUGGUAGUCCACGCAGUAAACGAUGAUUACUAGCAGUUUGCGAUACAAUGUAAGCGGCUGAGCGAAAGCGUUAAGUAAUCCACCUGGGGAGUACGUUCGCAAGAAUGAAACUUAAAGGAAUUGACGGGG
RNAcentral lists this ribosomal RNA (393 nucleotides) under uncultured bacterium. Its description in RNAcentral is "partial 16S ribosomal RNA". It matches the Rfam family "Bacterial small subunit ribosomal RNA", at positions 523 to 918 of the family's 1533-position model. The record is from RNAcentral.